CCUAGACCGCGGCCCGGAAGUAAAGACAACUUUCCAGGAGCCUGCGCACUUAGCGGGGAGGGCAAACGUUUGAAAAACGUUUCUGAUUGGUUAAAAAAGAACAGUGGACGAGGGCUGAGAAAAGAAAUGUAGCCAUUGGCUGGAAGUCAUAAACAGAUUAUCUGCGCUCUCUCUUCUGAUACGUGCGUUGGAGUCAAGGUUUAGAAAACGCGCAGUAGCCGGGCGCGGUGGCUCACGCCUGUAAUCCCAGCAGUUUGGGAGGCCGAGGCUUGCGGAUCACCUGAGGUCAGGAGGUCGAGACCAGCUUGGCCAACAUGGUGAAACCUCUUCUCUACCAAAAAUAGGAAAAUUAGCCUGGCGUGGUGGCGCCGCCUGUAAUCCCAGCUACUCGGGAGGCUGAGGCAAGAGAAUCGCUUGAACCCGGGAAGACGAGGUUGCAGUGAGCCACUGUAGAAAAAGCAAAAAGAAAAGGCUCAGUGAAAGAAAGAAGAAAGAAAGAAAAGAAAAAAGAAAAGGCUCAGUGAGGCUCUGAGGGAGGGAGUUCUGCUGUUCAUGCCCAUAGGUCUUCUAAUAACCAAUCCCACCCAGGAACUUCUGUGAAAACUGAUAAAAUUUAAACUCCAGGCAUAAUGAAUUACAGAAUCUUGCUGUAUUGCCCAGGUUGGAGUGCAGUGGCCAUUCACAGGCACCAUGAUAGCUCACUGCAGCCUUGAGCUCCUGGACUGAAGCAAUCCUGCCUCAGGCUUCCAAUUAGUUGGGACUACAAGCCAUUGCUAAAAAUUGAGGCCGGGUGCGGUGGUGCACGCCUGUAAUCCCAGCACUUUGAGAGGCCGGGGUGGGAUGAUCACAAGGUUAGGAGAUCAAGACCAUCCUGGCUAACACGGUGAAACCCCUUCUGUACUAAACAUACAAAAAAUUAGCUGGGCGUGGUGGCGGGUGCCAGUAGUCCCAGCUACUUGGUAGGCUGAGGCAGGAGAAUGGCAUGAACCCAGGAGGCGGAGCUUGCAGUGAGCCGAGAUCGCGCCACUGCACUCCAGCCUGGGCGACAGAGCGAGACUCUGUCUCAAAAAAAAAAAAAAAAAAAUUGAAAACCACUAACAAUCAUUGACACAUUGUAACUAUGUAAAUAUUAUUGACAGAAGAAUUAGAUACUAGUAUUUUAUUCUCCUCUCCACAGGGAGUCUACAGGUACUCUAAAAGACUAUUCAAGUUUAAGAUUACAGAGUUUUAAAUUUACAAGAAAAAAACAAACCACCCCUUCAAAACGUGGGCAAAGGAUAUGAACAGACACUUCUCAAAAGGAGACAUGUAUGCGGCCAAGAAACAUACAAAAAAAAGCUCAACAUCACUGAUCACUAGAGAAAUGCAAAUCAAAACCACAAUGAGAUACCAUCUCACACCAGUCAG
Symphalangus syndactylus (siamang) is the source of this 1407-nucleotide long non-coding RNA. RefSeq lists it as uncharacterized. The record is from RefSeq and is a predicted model, not a curated record. Lineage: Eukaryota; Metazoa; Chordata; Mammalia; Primates; Hylobatidae.